This is a long non-coding RNA of Manis pentadactyla (Chinese pangolin), 4497 nucleotides long. RefSeq lists it as uncharacterized. The record is from RefSeq and is a predicted model, not a curated record. The transcript is spliced from 3 exons. Lineage: Eukaryota; Metazoa; Chordata; Mammalia; Pholidota; Manidae.
GACCUUUGUCAAUGGAAUGAGUGUGGAUAGCAAACAUCCCAUGAAAACAGCACACAAGGAAAAGAGUCAGUGUUAAACAUCUACAGAGUACAGGGGGACCCAAAGUAGACAGCAUGUCAGGACCUUUCCUUCCUUCACCUCCUCUCCCCCCACCUGCUUGCCUGGCUUUAACUCUGGAGGAAUCAGAGGCAGCAUAGUGCACGAGAGAAGCAGAAGUCCCACCAGCAAAAUGGAGGGGUAAGCAAGUACCUACUUCCCAUUGCAGGUGGCUGGCCGGAAACUGGCCUGAGCUAAGGGCUGGGAGAAACUUUAAAUGAAGCUGAAAACGUUGAUGGUUUUGCUGGCCAUCUAAUUGAACUGAGCCUGUGUGGGAAAUGCUAAGUGACUAGAUGAAUUUUUAUUCCUUAUCUUGAACAAAUGUGUCCAGCUGGAUAUUCCAUCCAGGCAGGAAGAGUACCAGCUCCUCAGAUUUGGGGACAGGUUCCUGGAAUCAAGAAUGCAUUUACUUAUGGCUGUGUCCUUUUAGUUCUGCUAAUGAAACACAUUAGUUACAUUUCUUUUUGAAUACCUGAGUAUUCAAGAAAAUUCUAAUUCUACCAUAGGCACUUUCCUAUUUUACUACACAUCUUUCCUUGUUUUCCACCUUAAGUUUCAGAGUGGGCUGCACCUCACUCUAACCAACACUAGUGAAGUCUCUUGCUCUCUGAAUCCUGUUUGGCUCAAGUAUUGCAGAAGGAAACUGGGUGAUGACUCACUACUCAGAACCCACCUUGCCAAGGCAAAAGCAUCAUCAAUAAGACUUGCACGAUCAGCAGAAGAAAAGCCCUGGAAAGAGGAAGAAAAAAGAUGAGGAAGCUGAGAUCCAGGAAGUCAGAGGUUAUGGACUUUCCAAGUUCAUGCUGCUUUCAGAACCGUUGUCAACAUCGAAAUACUGUUGGGUUGUUUAAUUAUAUAAUGAGCUAGGACUGAAAUACUGAUGCCUAUCCCAGGUGGUACAUAGAAGUAAGAGUGCAUGUUUGCUUCUGUUUCUCCAUUUACUAUUAAUUUUUUUCCUGAUUGUAACAGUAGUAUGUGUUAUUUAUGGUUGCAAAUAUGUAUUUGGGAAAUAUAAAAAGUAUAAUGAAGAAUCUAAAAAUUACCCUCCACCAGCUAUCAUGUUUUUAUCUUCUGUGUGUGUGUAUCUUCCAUAUACAUGCACAUAUAAACACACAGCACACAUAAUGGAACCUUACUGUUUCUAUGAUUAGUAAUCCUUUUCCUUUGAAUUUGUAUUGUAAAUACCUUGGAAUUUUGUUUUAUAUAUAUGUUUCCCCUCCCAUCUGAAAGCACAGCAUUUCUAUGAAAAACUUUCAUAAGCCAAAAUGGCAUAAAGUGAAGACUAUAUCCUGUUUUCUGAAAGUUCACAUUACACCACUUUGCUUAGAUAUACAUUAGAACCUAUUUUCACUAACUAAAAGAAAUCCAGGAUUUUUGCUUUUAUGGAAAAAAUCUGUUGCUGUACUAACGUGGGUCUUUCAUAAAAGUGAAGUGUAACUUGAACUUUUGGAAAUCAGAGGAAUACUCAUAUAUGAAAAUGCAAAUCUAAUGGUCUCAUAAUAUGCUUAUCACUCAUUUAUAAAUUGUUCUAUUUCUUGCUAGUUUUAUGCAAAAAGAGGUGUUGAAUGAAUUUUGGGGGAAGGUGCUUUUUCUAGAAAAUCCUUGUUUUUUUUCCUUCUUUUUUUUUUAUCUAGAUGGUGGAUAAGACUGAUAAUUAUCUUUUCAAAAUUUUAUCCAGAGGCUGCUUAAUUUCAGUGCAAAUAUAUUUCAGUAACAGAUACUAUUUUAUAUAAAUAAUUCUAACAAAUUUUAGACAAUUAGACAGCUUAUGAGAGCCUGUGAGUUCUAGAGAAACAUUUUUCUUUGGUGAUAUAAGAGCUGUGCUGCAUUGAUCCCUUAAGCAAAUUAUUUUUCAGUGUAAAGUGACAGUUUAUAUGUUAUUAAAUUUGGUGCAUUACAUGAUAGUAAACAGGUGAAGGUACUAGAGUAGUAAUUUUUGACUAAUAACACCAAUUAUACUUGGGAAGCUAAAAUUUUCAAGUAGGAUGCACUAUCAGAAUUUGGAGUCAAGGAAGAAAAUUUUAUUCUCUGAAAAUAAGGUUAACAUGAUCCAUUGUGAAAUGGAUUGGUUAUCCAUUUGUGGUAAUGUUUUCAACAAAUCACUUAUCCAAGAAAGUAUUAGUGAUUAUGUUAGUAAUAAUUAGAGUCAAUCCUAAAUCUUAGCAUGUGGUCUAGAGAAUCUCCCUGAAAAGAAAGAUGUAGUAUUAAUACACAGUGUAUAAUAAGCAGGAAUCUGGAAAAAUAUAACCAGACUAUCAUGAUAAAGGAUUACCAUUGGUGAUGGUUUUGAUGAUUGAGAAGAAAUAAUUGCAAAGAAGAAUUGGGUCUGUCAGUGUGUCUCCAGUCUGCAUAGAGAAGCAGGUGCCCAAUGGAGCUGGUAGACAUAUUCCAGAUCUUUUGACAAAUUUGCUCUAAUAGAGGACAAGUGUAUGUCGCAGAGACCUGUUAGUUAUUUACCACACUAUUCCCUCUUCCUCUUGGGUACACAGCUGGGCUAUGUUUAUUAGCCUCCCUUGCAGUUACGUGUGAUAGACAACUGGACAUAAAAUGUGGGCAGAAGUAAUAGAUGCACUUCUAGGUCUGGUCCCUCCAUUAUCUUCCUAUCUUCUGGUCAGAUGCAAAAGAUCCAGAAGAGGAUCCAAGAUUCAGGAGGCAGUAGAACCAGAAGAAGGAAGAAGACAGGAUUUCUAGUCAUUAUUUGGGGGUGAGCUACCUAGGAGAGAUGGCAGAUCAGGAAUACCUCCAUUGGACUGUUGUGUGAAUAAAACUUUUACUGCAUCAAACCACUACUGAUAGCCUCUAAAUGCAAUAAGUAGUAUUUAAUGUAAUGUAUCAGGCUAUCAUCACAGCUUGAUGACAUCUCUAAAAUAAUUGAUCUAACUUAACUCUCUCUUUCCCCUUAUUAAGUGAACUUUCUUCCUGGAAAGAGAUACCUAAUUAGCUGACAUGAGUAUUCUGUUUCACCUUGGCCACUGUAUUUUUAUUUGUGUAAAUUAACAAGUUAGCAUUCCUAUAUAUUUGGUUUAUGUGAGUAAAUCUUCCAAGACUGUGUUGACCAGGGCUGAAUAAGUGAAACUGAACUUCUGAAUCCGCCAACUGAAUCUGUAAUAAUCUAAAUUCAAACAUUCCACGAGACUCAUCUUGAAAGACUGAAGAAAAUCUCUUGUUCAUUAUUAAAUUCAAAAAUAUAUGACCACCAUUAUUUUGAUAUGGAAUGUUUAAAUAUAACUACCUUCAAAUUUUAAUAAUAUCUGAUUUAUAUGAUAGUCAGAAUUUGGUUAUCUAAGCCAUCAGAAUGCAUUCCCAAAUCUGAAAAUUAAGAAAACAGUUACCACAAAGUCUUUUGCCAUCUCCUAUGCUCUAGACACCCUCUUACACCCUAGGCACUUAGGCAUGCCUAUUUUAAAAUGUGUUUUAUUAAGAUUGGUUAGCUGAUAUCAUAUGAUAACAUUCAAGUCUUAUAGAUGUUAGAAAGCAGCAGAUUAAAAGCAGAAAAAUGGUAUAUUACUAAAUGUAAAUACACUUACAAUAGCCAAAAUAAUAGCUGAUACUAAAGACAGGCGUUAUGAAAUAUACAGAUAUCCUUUAAAAGCACAGCAGUCUGGGAGCAAACAAGCCUUCACUAAGCAAGGACUUUAAAUCCUUAAAUCUUAGGAUGUGCACGGUGCCUUGUCGGGAACAGGGUGGACAGGGAAAAAGAAACACUAUGUAUGGUUUGUAUCUUCAGGGAGCUUAUAAUUUACUUAAAAAACAAAAGACAGAGCAUGAAGCCUCAAUAACAGUGAUGUUUAAAAUAUAAAAUAAUAAUACUAGAAUUAAGGGCUGAUGAAACUGAUAGCAUAAAACAUAGUAUAAACAGUGAGAGGAGAGAUUAUUCAGGGUAGGUUAGACCAGCCAGAGAAGCUCCUGUGAUAGAGGUACUGUUACAAAUUUAAAAUUUUUUAAUGUGAUUAGUUUUAAAAUAUCGUGUACAACACAAAUGCAAAUAAAAGACCUUGGGAGAAGUCCUGCCAUUGCCUGCGAAAUUUCUAACUGGUGAACAAUCAAAGAAACCAAAAGGAGGGAGGUAGGGCUGGUAACCUGAGCUGAUGGCCCAUUCAGUACAUUCAGGACAUGUCUGUCAUCUGAGCUCUGAGCUGUGAGCUGAAGGUGUCCUCAAACAGGAAACGGGAAGUUAUUGCAUAGCCUAAAAAUGGAGCCGGCACUUUGAAGUAGGAAGAGAUAGCUAGUUUGCUUCUGGCUGAGUGGCCAGUCAUGAUUCUGAAGUUUCAGAUGAAGUUAGGUUUAUCAUCAAAGCUGUGUGGACGUUAGUGCUUCUUCAUUCAUUAGUUCUUUCAUUCAUUGAAAAAGCAAUUACUAGAUACCUGCUGGAGGUAGAGAACUACCAUAAUAAAAAAAUAA